RNAcentral lists this ribosomal RNA (385 nucleotides) under uncultured bacterium. Its description in RNAcentral is "bacterial SSU rRNA". It matches the Rfam family "Bacterial small subunit ribosomal RNA", at positions 28 to 412 of the family's 1533-position model. The record is from RNAcentral.
GACGAACGCUGGCGGCGUGCUUAACACAUGCAAGUCGAGCGGUAAGGCCCUUUCGGGGGUACACGAGCGGCGAACGGGUGAGUAACACGUGGGUGACCUGCCCUCAGCUCUGGGAUAAGCCCGGGAAACUGGGUCUAAUACCGGAUAUGACUUCAUGACGCAUGUUGUGGAGUGGAAAGCCUUGUGCGGCUGAGGAUGGGCCCCGCGGCCUAUCAGCUUGUUGGUGGGGUGAUGGCCUACCGAGGCGACGACGGGUAGCCGGCCUGAGAGGGCGACCGGCCACACUGGGACUGAGAUACGGCCCAGACUCCUACGGGAGGCAGCAGUGGGGAAUCUUGCGCAAGUGGGCGAAAGCCUGACGCAGCGACGCCGCGUGAGGGAUGAC